This 431-nucleotide ribosomal RNA is filed under the name uncultured bacterium. RNAcentral's name for it is "partial 16S ribosomal RNA". It matches the Rfam family "Bacterial small subunit ribosomal RNA", at positions 29 to 507 of the family's 1533-position model. The record is from RNAcentral.
AACGAACGCUGGCGGCAGGCUUAACACAUGCAAGUCGAGCGCCCCGCAAGGGGAGCGGCAGACGGGUGAGUAACGCGUGGGAACGUACCUUUUGGUUCGGAACAACUCCGGGAAACUGGAGCUAAUACCGGAUAAGCCCUAACGGGGAAAGAUUUAUCGCCGAAAGAUCGGCCCGCGUCUGAUUAGCUAGUUGGUGAGGUAACGGCUCACCAAGGCGACGAUCAGUAGCUGGUCUGAGAGGAUGAUCAGCCACACUGGGACUGAGACACGGCCCAGACUCCUACGGGAGGCAGCAGUGGGGAAUAUUGGACAAUGGGCGCAAGCAUGAUCCAGCCAUGCCGCGUGAGUGAUGAAGGCCUUAGGGUUGUAAAGCUCUUUUGUCCGGGAAGAUAAUGACUGUACCGGAAGAAUAAGCCCCGGCUAACUUCGUG